UGACGAUAAAAGCAAAGGUUAUAAUGUAAAAUUAAAGUUUUGAGCUUGUGAACGUCAUGAAGAAUAGUUCUUUGACAUAAAAUAACGUGUAACGUUUGUUGUACUGAGUAAACACUUAUACUGUUUGAUACUGAAAGAUGCCUCUGGACUGCAUUUUUGACACAGUUUUAAAUAGCUUGUAUGUGAAGAAUAUGCAUACCGAAGACUAAAAGUAUUUUGAUUCUUCUAUCUUAUCAAUGAAUUUAGAAAUACUAGGGUCAAUCACAAUUCAUUAGUGUAGGAUAGAAACCGACAGAAUCGUGGUAAAAAGCCGAAUAGCGAC
Molecule: long non-coding RNA, 322 nt
Filed under: Mytilus galloprovincialis (Mediterranean mussel)
Lineage: Eukaryota; Metazoa; Mollusca; Bivalvia; Mytilida; Mytilidae
Source: RNAcentral